RNAcentral lists this ribosomal RNA (1406 nucleotides) under uncultured bacterium. RNAcentral describes it as "partial 16S ribosomal RNA". It matches the Rfam family "Bacterial small subunit ribosomal RNA". The record is from RNAcentral.
AGAGUUUGAUCCUGGCUCAGGAUGAACGCUGGCGGCGUGCCUAAUACAUGCAAGUCGAGCGAAUUGUUGAGUUUACUCAACAGUUAGCGGCGGACGGGUGAGUAACACGUGGGCAACCUGCCUAUAAGACUGGGAUAACUUCGGGAAACCGGAGCUAAUACCGGAUAUGUUCUUUUCUCGCAUGAGAGAAGAUGGAAAGACGGUCUCGGCUGUCACUUAUAGAUGGGCCCGCGGCGCAUUAGCUAGUUGGUGAGGUAAUGGCUCACCAAGGCAACGAUGCGUAGCCGACCUGAGAGGGUGAUCGGCCACACUGGGACUGAGACACGGCCCAGACUCCUACGGGAGGCAGCAGUAGGGAAUCUUCCGCAAUGGACGAAAGUCUGACGGAGCAACGCCGCGUGAACGAUGAAGGCUUUCGGGUCGUAAAGUUCUGUUGUUAGGGAAGAACAAGUACCAGAGUAACUGCUGGUACCUUGACGGUACCUAACCAGAAAGCCACGGCUAACUACGUGCCAGCAGCCGCGGUAAUACGUAGGUGGCAAGCGUUAUCCGGAAUUAUUGGGCGUAAAGCGCGCGCAGGUGGUUCCUUAAUUCUGAUGUGAAAGCCCCCGGCUCAACCGGGGAGGGGUCAUUGGAAACUGGGGAACUUGAGUGUAGAAGAGGAAAGUGGAAUUCCACGUGUAGCGGUGAAAUGCGUAGAGAUGUGGAGGAACACCAGUGGCGAAGGCGACUUUCUGGUCUAUAACUGACGCUGAGGCGCGAAAGCGUGGGGAGCAAACAGGAUUAGAUACCCUGGUAGUCCACCCCGUAAACGAUGAGUGCUAAGUGUUAGAGGGUUUCCGCCCUUUAGUGCUGCAGCUAACGCAUUAAGUGCCCCGCCUGGGGAGUACGGCCGCAAGGCUAAAACUCAAAGGAAUUGACGGGGGCCCGCACAAGCGGCGGAGCAUGCGGAUUAAUUCGAUGCAACGCGAAGAACCUUACCAAGGCUUGACAUGAACCGGAAAGGCCUGGAAACAGGUCCCCCACUUGUGGCCGGUUUACAGGUGGUGCAUGGUUGUCGUCAGCUCGUGUCGUGAGAUGUUGGGUUAAGUCCCGCAACGAGCGCAACCCUCGUUCUAUGUUGCCAGCGGGUUAUGCCGGGGACUCAUAGGAGACUGCCGGGGUCAACUCGGAGGAAGGUGGGGACGACGUCAAAUCAUCAUGCCCCUUAUGUCUUGGGCUUCACGCAUGCUACAAUGGCCGGUACAAAGGGUUGCGAUACUGUGAGGUGGAGCUAAUCCCAAAAAGCCGGUCUCAGUUCGGAUUGAGGUCUGCAACUCGACCUCAUGAAGUUGGAGUCGCUAGUAAUCGCAGAUCAGCAACGCUGCGGUGAAUACGUUCCCGGGCCUUGCACACACCGCCCGUCA